Prunus avium (sweet cherry) is the source of this 236-nucleotide long non-coding RNA. RefSeq lists it as uncharacterized. Lineage: Eukaryota; Viridiplantae; Streptophyta; Magnoliopsida; Rosales; Rosaceae. The record is from RefSeq and is a predicted model, not a curated record.
AGGAGGGACCUUCAAAGGGUCCAGCUAGCUCAGAGUAUCUGCAGUAGUCGUGCGUCAGUGCGCCACCACCGGGCCGAGUCCAUUUUCCGCCGCCUUCCUUGACAAAGUAGGGUUUUGUUUAUUUAUUUUUGUACUUGUAACCUACUCUGUAUAAAUGCUCUGAUAUUGCCCUAGAACACUUGUCUAACUGUUAGUAUGUAAAAUCUUUGUAUACUGGCAGUUGGUGUAUAUUUUUA